AUCUGGGCGGCGGAAUUCAGGACGGCUGGCGGGUCUCGCGCUCGCUCGGCCGUUUGAUAUUUCCGUCGCCGUGUCAGACGUCGCGACCUGUUCGUCGUCGGUCCUUGCUCGGAGGAAUUGCGAUCGAGUUCGUUGCGUGCGCGUUUCGGCGUGUCUCGCGGCGAAGACGCGACUCUCUGGCUGACGACGGACAGUAAGCAACGGUGUCCGGCGCCGUGUCUCGCACUCGGCGUCGGUGCCGGUCAGCGACGAUUUCUUCGGGCCUCUUUCCGACCCGUCUUGAAACACGGACCAAGGAGUCUAACAUGCGCGCGAGUCGCGGGGUUUCGAGCGUGCCACGGUGCGCUCGUUACUUCCGAAACCCGUACGUUGAAGGCGUAAUGAAAGUGAACAGGGAAGAUGGCGUUCCGAGUCCACGUACCGUGAUCGAGUAUCGCGGCCGGACGUCCGCACUCCCGGGGCGUCUCAAUGGCUCGCCACGGAUGCGGACGAUCGUCUUUCGGGGCGGUCGUCGGUCUGUGGCGGUCCGA
Molecule: ribosomal RNA, 530 nt
Filed under: Aulacaspis distylii
Lineage: Eukaryota; Metazoa; Arthropoda; Insecta; Hemiptera; Diaspididae
Description: eukaryotic LSU rRNA
Source: RNAcentral